Molecule: ribosomal RNA, 1377 nt
Filed under: Kocuria rosea
Lineage: Bacteria; Bacillati; Actinomycetota; Actinomycetes; Micrococcales; Micrococcaceae
Description: bacterial SSU rRNA
Rfam family: Bacterial small subunit ribosomal RNA
Source: RNAcentral
UGCAAGUCGAACGAUGAUGCCCAGCUUGCUGGGCGGAUUAGUGGCGAACGGGUGAGUAAUACGUGAGUAACCUGCCCUUGACUCUGGGAUAAGCCUGGGAAACUGGGUCUAAUACUGGAUACUACCUCUUACCGCAUGGUGGGUGGUGGAAAGGGUUUUACUGGUUUUGGAUGGGCUCACGGCCUAUCAGCUUGUUGGUGGGGUAAUGGCUCACCAAGGCGACGACGGGUAGCCGGCCUGAGAGGGUGACCGGCCACACUGGGACUGAGACACGGCCCAGACUCCUACGGGAGGCAGCAGUGGGGAAUAUUGCACAAUGGGCGGAAGCCUGAUGCAGCGACGCCGCGUGAGGGAUGACGGCCUUCGGGUUGUAAACCUCUUUCAGUAGGGAAGAAGCGAGAGUGACGGUACCUGCAGAAGAAGCGCCGGCUAACUACGUGCCAGCAGCCGCGGUAAUACGUAGGGCGCAAGCGUUGUCCGGAAUUAUUGGGCGUAAAGAGCUCGUAGGCGGUUUGUCGCGUCUGCUGUGAAAGCCCGGGGCUCAACCCCGGGUCUGCAGUGGGUACGGGCAGACUAGAGUGCAGUAGGGGAGACUGGAAUUCCUGGUGUAGCGGUGAAAUGCGCAGAUAUCAGGAGGAACACCGAUGGCGAAGGCAGGUCUCUGGGCUGUUACUGACGCUGAGGAGCGAAAGCAUGGGGAGCGAACAGGAUUAGAUACCCUGGUAGUCCAUGCCGUAAACGUUGGGCACUAGGUGUGGGGGACAUUCCACGUUUUCCGCGCCGUAGCUAACGCAUUAAGUGCCCCGCCUGGGGAGUACGGCCGCAAGGCUAAAACUCAAAGGAAUUGACGGGGGCCCGCACAAGCGGCGGAGCAUGCGGAUUAAUUCGAUGCAACGCGAAGAACCUUACCAAGGCUUGACAUUCACCGGACCGCCCCAGAGAUGGGGUUUCCCUUCGGGGCUGGUGGACAGGUGGUGCAUGGUUGUCGUCAGCUCGUGUCGUGAGAUGUUGGGUUAAGUCCCGCAACGAGCGCAACCCUCGUUCUAUGUUGCCAGCACGUGAUGGUGGGGACUCAUAGGAGACUGCCGGGGUCAACUCGGAGGAAGGUGGGGAUGACGUCAAAUCAUCAUGCCCCUUAUGUCUUGGGCUUCACGCAUGCUACAAUGGCCGGUACAAAGGGUUGCGAUACUGUGAGGUGGAGCUAAUCCCAAAAAGCCGGUCUCAGUUCGGAUUGAGGUCUGCAACUCGACCUCAUGAAGUCGGAGUCGCUAGUAAUCGCAGAUCAGCAACGCUGCGGUGAAUACGUUCCCGGGCCUUGUACACACCGCCCGUCAAGUCACGAAAGUUGGUAACACCCGAAGCCGGUGGCCUAACCCC